Molecule: non-coding RNA, 27 nt
Filed under: Homo sapiens (human)
Lineage: Eukaryota; Metazoa; Chordata; Mammalia; Primates; Hominidae
Source: RNAcentral
UGCUGAUGCAAGUUGUCCCCCAAGGCC